Long non-coding RNA from Dreissena polymorpha, 415 nucleotides. RefSeq lists it as uncharacterized. The record is from RefSeq and is a predicted model, not a curated record. Lineage: Eukaryota; Metazoa; Mollusca; Bivalvia; Myida; Dreissenidae. The transcript has 3 exons.
CUUCUCUCGAACUAAAGUGCGACACUGGAUAUACACUCUUGGGCGGCAACCGACUAAUAUGUCAAGAUAAUGGAAAGUGGAGUGAAAAUGCAACUUGCGUAAUCAAAGAUUGUGGGAACUUCACAGAGCCAACACACGGGAGGAUAUUGAACAUACCGAUUGUCACCACAUUUCAAUCUGUGAUACGCUUUGCUUGCAACGAUGGAUAUCUUCUGCAAGGAAACGAUUCCACCCAGUGUGACAGUACAGGGUUAUGGACGAGUGCAAUCCCCAUUUGCAAUAAGAAGUGUAAUUUAUUGUACUGAACUAGGCGGUACCUGUACUGACAAAAGACAGUGUCUAGCAGAAAAUGCUAUCUGUGAAGACAGUAAAUGCGCAUGCAUCUCUGGUGUAAUAGAUCACAACACAAAUAAAU